CAAGCCACCUCCUUGCUGGCAGAGCCUGGCUGUGGCCACUGGCCCAGCUCUGCGUCUCCUGCAAACGCGGCACAAGGUCACUGCCCUGCCUGUUCUGCUGCAACAAGGGAGGGAAGGAAAACCACAGGAUGUGACCCUCCUGCCAAGGCACUACUCUGAUACUCAGAGAAUUCUGAGCAGCCCCAGAGUCUCACCAAUCUAAUGGAGCAGCCCUCUUCCUUCCAUCUCUCUCAGUACCACGCACCAAAGAAAAAAGGUUAAAGAAAUCGAAACUCAGGAUCUGUGCAAAAAGGGAUCUAAGUUUAAUGUGACCAGAAAAGGGAUACAUAACCAUGCAUGUGUAUCUUCCGGGAUAUUUCUCUAUGGAAUGUUUAUAUUUAGAAUGAUUUCAGGCAUUAAGAGUAUCAACUGAAGACAAAGACUAAUCAAAUAAGCCCUUCGGUCUCUAAACAAACUUUCAUACAGUAUUUUAUUAAUCUAAAAUCAAUUAUCCCUUCAGAGAAAAAAAAAAAAACAAACUAAAAAACUUCAAUAUAAUACUUGUCUGAAUAUGUGGUCUGUAUGCUUUUGUGCUCUCCACCUCUCUCUCAGUACAGAUUUUUAUAUUUGCAAGUUACUAGAUUCAGGGAUAGAUUUACACAAUUCAUGCUCACAAAUAUAUCCUGACAUCCUGCAGGAAAGGCACCAAACUAAACUAUAUCAAUCUAGAUGAAUGAUUAGAGACAAAAUAAGCUGUGUAGAACACAAAGAUUUGCAAUAAAAAUUUCUUAGUUUAUUUAAAAUAACAUUUUAAUAAAGCUGUGCCUACAAUUCAGCAUUACCUAAAUAAAGCAUAUUUUUGGUUUAUUAGUAGUAAUCUGUAAAAGUGAAAUGAAUGACAUGCAGCUGAGCUUACAAGUGAUUGCAAGGCAUGGGUAUGCAUUUAUUGCAUUACAGCAGAGCCUUGACAGCUGGCUCUGUUAUUGUGUUUUGUGGGACCAGGUUCUAACAUGCAGUGCUGGGAGAACAAACUCCCUGACUGACAAACACUGAACAGAUAAACUGGCAUGGAAAGGGAGAUGGAACAUCAUGAGCACAUUUAUUGUAUUAAUUACUAGUGACAAAUUGGCAACUCCUCUCCCCUGGUUUUAGAGGUACAUGUGAUUUUAGAAGGACAAGUCAGAUGUACAUUUAACCUUCAAUCCUGCAAGGGCCAGGAGGUCUUUGCUGACACUAAGCUGCAGGACCAGAAGCUAAACUAAUGCCACACUCAUCUUGCUUGCUUUCAGUGCAGAAAAUGUUAAGACAAAUACCAUGACAAG
This is a long non-coding RNA of Passer montanus (Eurasian tree sparrow), 1301 nucleotides long. RefSeq lists it as uncharacterized. Lineage: Eukaryota; Metazoa; Chordata; Aves; Passeriformes; Passeridae. The record is from RefSeq and is a predicted model, not a curated record. The transcript has 2 exons.